Suricata suricatta (meerkat) is the source of this 577-nucleotide long non-coding RNA. RefSeq lists it as uncharacterized. The record is from RefSeq and is a predicted model, not a curated record. NCBI's taxonomy places the organism in Eukaryota, Metazoa, Chordata, Mammalia, Carnivora, Herpestidae. The transcript is spliced from 3 exons.
UGAUGUGGGAGUCGAAUCACUGUCCUCUCAACCCCUCUAUACCACCUGCGGUGGCAGUCGGGCAGGGGUGCGCUGACACAAGUCACUUCUCCCCUCUUACCCAGAUCUGCUCAGCCAGGAGCUUCCGUCCACCGUGUGCCCAGAGAUACUCAGCUCCAGGUGUCCCUCGCAUCGCCCUGGGGAACGGCUCAUCCCGGGAGACUGGGCAGAAGGAAUUCGGAAUGUGGACUGACCCCGAGGGGCUGCCCCUGAAGAAGAGGCCUGUGGGCGUCCAGAUCUGUCUGUGCCUGGAGGGUGAGAUGCCAAGAAAUGAAAAUUGAAGAAGUGUCUUGUACAGCUGAAUACGGGAUGGGAUAAGAUGGUGGGAGCCUCAGAGGUGCCAGCGGAGAGGCAGCGGACGACUCUUCAGGAGGCUGGCACGGGGCCCAAGCAAUCUGUUCCCAACUUCCUCCUGCGUGGGUGGCGGCGACACGUCCCCAGCCGGCCCCCGCGCCUCUCACCAGCCGUCAACACGCCCUCACUCUCUCCUUGUGUGUGUUGUCAAAUCUUCCCAAUAUAGCAGCCCGGAGUCUGUCAA